AGUCACUGACAUUAGAUACCCCCGUAGUCCCAGCCGUAAACUAUGCUCGCUAGGUGUCAGGCAUGGCGCGACCGCGUCUGGUGCCGCAGGGAAGCCGUGAAGCGAGCCACCUGGGAAGUACGGCCGCAAGGCUAGAAACUUAAAGGAAUUGGCGGGGGAGCACAACAACGGGUGGAGCCUGCGGUUUAAUUGGACUCAACGCCGGACAACUCACCGGGAACGACAGCAAUAUGUAGGCCAGGCUGAAGACCUCGCCUGAAUCGCUG
Molecule: ribosomal RNA, 266 nt
Filed under: uncultured archaeon
Lineage: Archaea
Description: partial 16S ribosomal RNA
Rfam family: Archaeal small subunit ribosomal RNA
Source: RNAcentral